GUGCCAGCCGCCGCGGUAAUACGGAGGGGGCGAGCGUUAUUCGGAAUUAUUGGGCGUAAAGGGCGCGUAGGCGGCCCUGCAAGUCAAAGGUGAAAUCCCUCGGCUCAACUGAGGAACUGCCUUUGAAACUGCGGGGCUUGAGGCCGGGAGGGGGUAGCGGAAUUCCCAGUGUAGCGGUGAAAUGCGUAGAUAUUGGGAGGAACACCAGUGGCGAAGGCGGCUACCUGGACCGGUUCUGACGCUGAUGCGCGAAAGCGUGGGGAGCAAACAGGAUUAGAUACCCCGGUAGUCC
Molecule: ribosomal RNA, 292 nt
Filed under: uncultured bacterium
Lineage: Bacteria
Description: partial 16S ribosomal RNA
Rfam family: Bacterial small subunit ribosomal RNA
Source: RNAcentral